GCUUUAAUCAGUGUUCAAAUGCGGUAACUUUCCGAUUAUAAAUUUGAAAACCAAGAAAUUCUGUGGGAUUCUAACUGAUUUGUUUCAUAAGAUUAAGCAUUUGAGCCUAUAAAGGAUACAAUAUUUAUAACGAUAAUCUGCUCAUUUGGGAAGAAUCAAAGAUCCUGUAGCAUGUUCAGGAGGUGAAAUAGGUUGUCACAGAGGGCUGAAGAGCGAGUGGUUGAUACUGAACGGUGUAUCGCGCACCCAACGAGCGUAUAUAAUCACAUAAUGUGGUUAUCAUGCCAAUUGCGUAAAUAUUUGAGGCAAUUUGUGGCAUGCAACCGGUCGGAUGCUACUUCAACCAAGUGAUGAAAGUGCGAUUGAGUCUAUGAUCGACUGCACAUCAUUUCUGCUAACUUGUUGGAUGGGAGUGGCACAUGAGUCAAAAAGGAUGUAUAGAUAUGGACUGACAGGAGGUUGCAGAAGAUGAGCAGGAAGAGAAAGAGCAAUGGAAUAAAAAAGGGUCGAAUAGGCGUGAAGCCGUGGCGCCCGGCGUUCAAAAGGAUAAAGGGGUCUAGUGAUUUUUGGAAAAGAAGUGAGGAUAUAUUGUUCUUUUAGUCUUAAAGGGUCCGUGAAAAUGUAACACGCUCAUCACCAGAAGGACAAUGACUCUUGGCGCUAGAAAACAGGGUGACCAAGAAAUUUUACAUUUUUCCCAAGUUAAUCCGUGAACAGGUAAAUUUCAGCUUCAGGUUACUAUUUGUAAUGUUGACCUUUCGAAUUACUUUUUUGAUAUCCGUGAC
Molecule: long non-coding RNA, 785 nt
Organism: Chelonus insularis
Lineage: Eukaryota; Metazoa; Arthropoda; Insecta; Hymenoptera; Braconidae
Exons: 3
Source: RefSeq, a predicted model, not a curated record